CGGGGAUUGGUCAUAGAAUGUUCUGGAGUGGCCUAUUAAGUCUCCAGAUUUAAAUCUCCAAAAAAUAUUUGGUUGAAUUUGAAUAGAGCUGUGGCAAUGUGAAAACCAAAAAUCAUCAGUGAUCUGUAAGCUUUUUCAGGCGAGGAAUGGGCUAAGAUUGCAGUAGAGAGGUGACAGAAGCUUCUAAGCACUUACAGGCCGUGUUUAUUAGAGGUUAUAAAGAAUAAAAUAUUUUAACUUUACAUUCUCAGAAUCACUCAAAUGUGUAUUAAUAAACUUUCUCUAAUAUAGUUUACCAAUGGCUUUAUUAAAUUGUUUUCAUAAAAUUUUGUUCUCGGCAGGUCAAGGGGGUUGGAUAAAUUUGAUUGCAACUGCAUAAUUACAGUAUGUAUAAUCCAAUUAACAUUGUUUCAGUGGACUUCUGGUGGCCUUGGAUGAUCAUAGCUGGAGCAGCAGUUGGAGGAGCAGUGCUACUUGCGCUCAUCAUUAUCGCAAUGAAAGUUUUUAAACGUCAAACAGUUGAUGAAGUAACCUAUGCAUCAGUUAUCCAUAGGUCACACAACUCCAAUGAGAGCAAUGGUAAUCUUUUAAAAUUACUCCAAUACCCUUUGUUUCUUUUGACAUGCAUCUCAUGUACCUUCCGUCUCUUUCACUAGAUCUUGUGCAUAAUAACCUCAUUAACUGCUCUACUGAGGACUAGGGUCGUGUCAGCUCAGAUACUGUCUUAUAUGCAACCGUCAAAGAGAGGACAUGAAAAGAACAACACAACAUCACAAUUAUUAAAAUUUCAGAUAAAAGUUGAACUGAAUCAGCCUGUUUUGUUCUACAGAUUUCUCUAUGCAUUACUGUUUAAUAUUGCAACACCUAGAUCUAAAAGGGUGAAUCAAACACUGGGGCUGCACAGGGAAAGGAGAAUUAAAGUUAUGCAACCUAUUGGCCUCAAAUUACACUUUUAUAUACAGAUUGUGGAAACAUAUGGAAAAACCUGACUGUAAUCAGAGAGUGAUCAGAGAGACUGAGAGUGCAUUCUCAUCAAUGCUAACAGACAGGUUGCAUGCAGUAUCAAGAUGAAGGUACAGAAUUUCUGUUUUAAAGUAUUGUUGGCUCAGCUGCAUUGAAUAGAGACUGUCUAGUAUGUAGUGUCUAAGAUGCAACCGCAUUACUUGAAUUAUCACCUACACCAUAAAUAGACAUGACCACAGAUGCAGUAGAAGCAAGAGUCAUAUCCUGUGCUUGUCUGUAUGUAUUAUGUUGACUCUUCUGUUCCGGUCCUGUUUCUACUCAUCAUUCCUAUUUUGUCUUUUUAGUUCAUUACCCUCUUUUGUAUAUAUAGCCCUCAAACUUUGGCAGGUCUUGGUUUGCGAGCAGUUAUGUUAGGGUUUUCAGUUGCACUCACUGUUUAUAGUGUUUUAGUUCUGUUCCUUGUUUUGUAGUGUUUUGUUUGUUGUGGUUAUCCUUAUUAAAAGUUCAUUUACAUUUGGAUUCUGUCUCUCAUCACCUCUGACUUCACCUACAUCACCUUUUUUCAUUGUAUAUCUAGACUGAAAAAUUUGUAGAACUGUAGAACAUGAUAGCUUUGUGAAACUACUGCAUUAAAGGGUUAGUUAAGCCAAAAAUGAAAAUUACACCAUGUUUUACUCACCCUUGUGGCAUCCUAGGUGUAUAUGACUUUCUUCUUUCAGACGAAUCCAAUCUGAGUUUUAUUAAAAAAUUGUCCUGGUUCUUCCAAGCAUUAGAAUGGGGAUAGGCAGGUGUUUUUGUUCAACAGUCCAAAAGUAGUUAAAUAAAGCACAUCCAUCCAUAUUAAAAAGUGCCUCA
Cyprinus carpio (common carp) is the source of this 1818-nucleotide long non-coding RNA. The record is from Ensembl. Lineage: Eukaryota; Metazoa; Chordata; Actinopteri; Cypriniformes; Cyprinidae.